CGGGACACGUGGUAUCCUGUCUGAAUAUGGGGGGACCAUCCUCCAAGGCUAAAUACUCCUGACUGACCGAUAGUGAACCAGUACCGUGAGGGAAAGGCGAAAAGAACCCCGGCGAGGGGAGUGAAAAAGAACCUGAAACCGUGUACGUACAAGCAGUGGGAGCACGCUUAGGCGUGUGACUGCGUACCUUUUGUAUAAUGGGUCAGCGACUUAUAUUCUGUAGCAAGGUUAACCGAAUAGGGGAGCCGAAGGGAAACCGAGUCUUAACUGGGCGUUAAGUUGCAGGGUAUAGACCCGAAACCCGGUGAUCUAGCCAUGGGCAGGUUGAAGGUUGGGUAACACUAACUGGAGGACCGAACCGACUAAUGUUGAAAAAUUAGCGGAUGACUUGUGGCUGGGGGUGAAAGGCCAAUCAAACCGGGAGAUAGCUGGUUCUCCCCGAAAGCUAUUUAGGUAGCGCCUCGUGAAUUCAUCUCCGGGGGUAGAGCACUGUUUCGGCAAGGGGGUCAUCCCGACUUACCAACCCGAUGCAAACUGCGAAUACCGGAGAAUGUUAUCACGGGAGACACACGGCGGGUGCUAACGUCCGUCGUGAAGAGGGAAACAACCCAGACCGCCAGCUAAGGUCCCAAAGUCAUGGUUAAGUGGGAAACGAUGUGGGAAGGCCCAGACAGCCAGGAUGUUGGCUUAGAAGCAGCCAUCAUUUAAAGAAAGCGUAAUAGCUCACUGGUCGAGUCGGCCUGCGCGGAAGAUGUAACGGGGCUAAACCAUGCACCGAAGCUGCGGCAGCGACGCUGAUGCGUUGUUGGGUAGGGGAGCGUUCUGUAAGCCUGUGAAGGUGUGCUGUGAGGCAUGCUGGAGGUAUCAGAAGUGCGAAUGCUGACAUAAGUAACGAUAAAGCGGGUGAAAAGCCCGCUCGCCGGAAGACCAAGGGUUCCUGUCCAACGUUAAUCGGGGCAGGGUGAGUCGACCCCUAAGGCGAGGCCGAAAGGCGUAGUCGAUGGGAAACAGGUUAAUAUUCCUGUACUUGGUGUUACUGCGAAGGGGGGACGGAGAAGGCUAUGUUGGCCGGGCGACGGUUGUCCCGGUUUAAGCGUGUAGGCUGGUUUUCCAGGCAAAUCCGGAAAAUCAAGGCUGAGGCGUGAUGACGAGGCACUACGGUGCUGAAGCAACAAAUGCCCUGCUUCCAGGAAAAGCCUCUAAGCAUCAGGUAACAUCAAAUCGUACCCCAAACCGACACAGGUGGUCAGGUAGAGAAUACCAAGGCGCUUGAGAGAACUCGGGUGAAGGAACUAGGCAAAAUGGUGCCGUAACUUCGGGAGAAGGCACGCUGAUAUGUAGGUGAAGUCCCUCGCGGAUGGAGCUGAAAUCAGUCGAAGAUACCAGCUGGCUGCAACUGUUUAUUAAAAACACAGCACUGUGCAAACACGAAAGUGGACGUAUACGGUGUGACGCCUGCCCGGUGCCGGAAGGUUAAUUGAUGGGGUCAGCGCAAGCGAAGCUCUUGAUCGAAGCCCCGGUAAACGGCGGCCGUAACUAUAACGGUCCUAAGGUAGCGAAAUUCCUUGUCGGGUAAGUUCCGACCUGCACGAAUGGCGUAAUGAUGGCCAGGCUGUCUCCACCCGAGACUCAGUGAAAUUGAACUCGCUGUGAAGAUGCAGUGUACCCGCGGCAAGACGGAAAGACCCCGUGAACCUUUACUAUAGCUUGACACUGAACAUUGAGCCUUGAUGUGUAGGAUAGGUGGGAGGCUUUGAAGUGUGGACGCCAGUCU
RNAcentral lists this ribosomal RNA (1774 nucleotides) under Escherichia coli. RNAcentral's name for it is "partial 23S ribosomal RNA". It matches the Rfam family "Bacterial large subunit ribosomal RNA", at positions 418 to 2177 of the family's 2925-position model. Lineage: Bacteria; Pseudomonadati; Pseudomonadota; Gammaproteobacteria; Enterobacterales; Enterobacteriaceae. The record is from RNAcentral.